Long non-coding RNA from Balaenoptera ricei (Rice's whale), 566 nucleotides. RefSeq lists it as uncharacterized. The record is from RefSeq and is a predicted model, not a curated record. NCBI's taxonomy places the organism in Eukaryota, Metazoa, Chordata, Mammalia, Artiodactyla, Balaenopteridae. The transcript has 4 exons.
GCUCCACCUGCCUGUGGCGUCCUGGCGCAGCGCGCCUCGCGCCCGGGUCCCCGCGCUGUCUCCUCGCGCCCGUGGGACGCCAGGCGCUCCUUCUGCUCCUGCCGCCCGUGCUGGCCGCGCUGGGCGGCCUCGGGGGCUCCGCGACAGAUGAAAUACAGUGUCAGAUGACAAGGCAAGCUGCAUGUGGUGGGAGAUGCAUUCCUGUGGCCUGGCUCUGCAACGGAGAGCAGGAGUGCCCGGAUGGGGCGGACGAGCAGUGUGGGACAGAAGCACUCUCCCUGAUCAAUGCUACCACUGCAACUGGAACUCAGAAUUCGAAGGCUUUGGCCUCACCUUUGGGGACUUCACGUCACUCAAGCACGACUGAGAGGGUGUUGCUCUCCCACUGGUUAUGGAAGAUACCCACCUGAGAUGCAGCUGUUUGCUAAUGCAGCUUUGCAGGUGCGAAAUCUUCAUCAAGCGCUAAGCACUGAAGAAACAGUUGUAAGGCAUCACCUAAAAAACCAGCAUCAUGGAGGACUUUUCCUUUCCUGAAGUAGACCUUCAAUAAAAGCACAUAUACACGA